GCACCGCUGAUGCGUCCCAAACCGGACGAAACAGCUGUCCAGUGC
This 45-nucleotide non-coding RNA is filed under the name Echinostoma caproni. The record is from RNAcentral. Lineage: Eukaryota; Metazoa; Platyhelminthes; Trematoda; Plagiorchiida; Echinostomatidae.